UACGUAGGGGGCGAGCGUUGUCCGGAAUCAUUGGGCGUAAAGAGCGUGUAGGCGGCUUGGCAAGUCUGAGGUGAAAGCCCGCGGCUCAACCGCGGAUUGUCGUUGGAAACUGCCUCGCUAGAGUCCGGAAGAGGAGAGCGGAAUUCCUGGUGUAGCGGUGGAAUGCGCAGAUAUCAGGAAGAACACCCGUGGCGAAGGCGGCUCUCUGGGACGGUACUGACGCUGAGACGCGAAAGCGUGGGGAGCGAACAGG
RNAcentral lists this ribosomal RNA (253 nucleotides) under uncultured bacterium. RNAcentral describes it as "partial 16S ribosomal RNA". It matches the Rfam family "Bacterial small subunit ribosomal RNA", at positions 524 to 776 of the family's 1533-position model. The record is from RNAcentral.